CUUAGUGGCGGACGGGUGAGUAACGCGUGGGGAACCUGCCUUGCACCGGGGGAUAACACUUAGAAAUAGGUGCUAAUACCGCAUAAGCGCACAGAGCCGCAUGGCUCGGUGUGAAAAACUCCGGUGGUGCAAGAUGGACCCGCGUCUGAUUAGCUGGUUGGCGGGGUAACGGCCCACCAAGGCGACGAUCAGUAGCCGGCCUGAGAGGGUGAACGGCCACAUUGGGACUGAGACACGGUCCAAACUCCUACGGGAGGCAGCAG
This 263-nucleotide ribosomal RNA is filed under the name uncultured bacterium. RNAcentral's name for it is "partial 16S ribosomal RNA". It matches the Rfam family "Bacterial small subunit ribosomal RNA", at positions 91 to 354 of the family's 1533-position model. The record is from RNAcentral.